ACUCAAAUGAAUUGACGGGGGCCCGCACAAGCGGUGGAGCAUGUGGUUUAAUUCGUUACUAACCGAAGAACCUUACCCAGGUUUGACAUCCUCUGCUGACCUGGUGAGAGCCGGGGUCCGAGGGGGGAACCCCAAGGCAGAGAGACAGGUGUUGCAUGGCUGUCGUCAGCUCGUGUCGUGAGAUGUUGGGUUCAGUCCCGCAACGAGCGCAACCCUCAUCCGCUGUUGCCAGCGAGUCAAGUCGGGCACUCUGCGGAAACUGCAGUAGCAAUACUGAGGAAGGUGGGGAUGAUGUCAAGUCGGCAUGGCCCUUACGCCUGGGGCGACACACAUGCUACAAUGGGGGCACACAGAGGGACGCGAGGUCGCGAGGCGGAGCGAAUCCCAGAAAGGCCCUCUCAGUUCGGAUUGGGGUCUGCAACUCGACCCCAUGAAGUCGGAAUCGCUAGUAACCGCCGAUCAGCCAAGCGGCGGUGAAUACGUUCCCGGGCCUUGUACACACCGCCCGU
Molecule: ribosomal RNA, 509 nt
Filed under: uncultured bacterium
Lineage: Bacteria
Description: partial 16S ribosomal RNA
Rfam family: Bacterial small subunit ribosomal RNA
Source: RNAcentral